AGUGGCGGACGGGUGAGUAACACGUUGGUACUUGCCCUCUAGUGGGGAAUAACUGCCCGAAAGGGUGGCUAAUACCGCAUGUGAUCUUCGGAUCAAAGCCUUCGGGCGCUAGAGGAGAGGCCUGCGUCCCAUUAGCUAGUUGGUAGGGUAAUGGCCUACCAAGGCGACGAUGGGUAGCUGGUUCGAGAGGAUGACCAGCCACACUGGGACUGAGAUACGGCCCAGACUCCUACGGGAGGCAGCAGUAAGGAAUCUUCCACAAUGGACGAAAGUCUGAUGGAGCAACACCGCGUGCAGGAUGAAGGCUUUCGGGUCGUAAACUGCUUUUAUAGAGGAAGAUUAUGACGGUACUCUAUGAAUAAGGACCGGCUAACUACGUGCCAGCAGCCGCGGUAAUACGUAGGGUCCAAGCGUUAUCCGGAAUCACUGGGCGUAAAGCGUGCGUAGGUGGUCUGUUAAGUGAGAUAUUAAAGCGUGUGGCUCAACCAUAUCGUUGUGUCUCAUACUGGCAGACUAGAGGACGGGAGAGGCAAGUGGAAUUACUAGUGUAGCAGUGAAAUGCGUAGAUAUUAGUAGGACACCAAUGGCGACGCAGCUGGCUGACCGCCCCUGACACUGAGGUACGAAUCUGGGGAGCGACAGAUAGAAUACCCUGGUAGUCCAACG
This 666-nucleotide ribosomal RNA is filed under the name uncultured bacterium. RNAcentral describes it as "bacterial SSU rRNA". It matches the Rfam family "Bacterial small subunit ribosomal RNA", at positions 94 to 800 of the family's 1533-position model. The record is from RNAcentral.